This 1451-nucleotide long non-coding RNA is filed under the name Strigops habroptila (Kakapo). RNAcentral's name for it is "lncRNA (ENSSHBG00005005983.1)". The record is from RNAcentral. Lineage: Eukaryota; Metazoa; Chordata; Aves; Psittaciformes; Psittacidae.
AUCGGUGCGCGCGCAGGGGAGCGCGUAACGGCCGCGGCGGGGUGAGGGCCCUCCUGAGGCGGCGGCGCCGGGCGCUGUGAAGGCUCCGGUGCGGGGAUGCGGGGUGCGAACCGCUGCCCCGCACAUCCGCAGUGUGCCCCGAAGCCCUCCCUAGAGCUCUGUGGGUUCCUGGGUGUACCACAGGGGUCUUUGGGCUGUACGCUCGCAGUCUGGACAGCAGCUCCUGUCAGCCUGAUGGUGUGUGGGGUGUGAUGGAGCCCCCAUCCUGCCCCGCACUGCAGCCUCUCUCCCAGCCUGGCUCAGGAGCGGUGCUCAGUGGGAGCAGGAGCAGCUCCUGCCUGGCUGCGGUGAGGCUGGUAAGUGAGGAGCCAGCGGAGCUUCCUAAACCUGAUCCCUUGCUUUGACCAUGGCAGCCUGUGUUUGUGUGCAGGAUUCCAUGAAGACCAGAAGCACCCCACUUCCACAUCAGCUUUUCACCAUCUCCCCAGCUCUCAGCAGAUUGGGUCAGGAACUCUUACAGAUGCUGCUCCCCCUUUGAUCAGCUUCUCAGCUAAUAAAUCCCUGGCAGGGCUUUGGGAAGCUGGAUGUACAACUCAGACCUGUCAGCGGGAGAAAAUCCCCAUGGAGCUGGGCUGGGAUUCUCCUGUUCUUGGAGGGAAUGCCGGAGGCUCAGGUUUUGCAUCUGGCUGAUGUGAAGGAAAGUCCUUUUGAUGUGGUUCCUUGGCCCAAGAACCUGCAAACCACCGUUAACCCCCAGUUCACGCUUGCAAGCGGAUCGGGUUGAUUUCAGCAUCGCUGCUGUGAGUUCUCAAACCUCUCAUUAGCUGCUGCUUGCUGCAUUUCCUUCACUAAUAAAAAGGAAUUGCUUGGCUCAACCACCAGGCAUCGAUGAAGCUGUGUCUGUGAUUCUCCACCAUCUCCACCAGGUAGCCCUGUUUGCGGCAAGGAAACCAAGAUCUGCUGUGAUCUGCACCGAAAUUGAAGUGGGACCUCAGGAAGUUGAAUGAAGAAUCAACAAGGUUGGAAAAGAGCUUUAAGCUCAUCAAGACCAACCGUUCCCAGCACUGCCAAGGCCACCACUAACCCAUGGCACUGAAGGCCUUGGCUACACGGGGUGUGAACACUUGCAGGCACGGUGACUCCAGCCCUGCCCUGGGCAGCCUGUUCCAAUGCCUGAGCAUCCUUUGGGGAAGGAAUUGUUCCUCAUCUCCAGUUUAACCCUCCCCUGGAGGUAUUGCCUCUUUCCUAGCUGCUCUCAGCCAUCACAGCACAUUCUGCUGACUUCAGUGAACCCAUCAAUCUGAUUAUCUGCUGUGGCAAAGAGACAAGUUCAACUCAAUUAACAUUUAUGGAUUCCACAGUGCUUUGCAUAAAUGUUUGCUUAAUACACAAGUCAAAAAUAUCCCCAGAAAAUGAAAAUUAAAGAUAGUUAAUUGCUUGCAGCUAUGCAC